UGAGAUAUUGGAGGAGAUCCAAAAGAAAAGGUAAAGUUUUCGAAAGUAUUAAAAAUGAUUUUUUAGUUAUCUUUUAUUUGAAAUUAUCUUCAACAAACAAAAGCAACUAAUUUUUUAAGAGUGCUAAAAUGAUCUAAAACAUCGGGUAUAUGUUUUUUUUUUCCAUAAAUUAUCUCCGAGUUAUUUUCAUCAAAAUUAUCUCCGAGUUAUUUUCAUCCCCAUGCUUUUAUUAAGGUUUGGAAUUGCCUUCUUGCAAGACAAUAAACAAAUAUAAUAGGGAAAAUAUAUAAUGAGACCAUUUACUUUUGAUACAAGGUGGUCACAGUUAAUCUUGAUCAUUGGAUGUGAAAUUGGGUAGCUGCAUUUAUUUCAUUGACCGAGCUCAAAGUUCAAAAAAAAUUUUCUCAAACUAUAUGACACGCCCAAGCUAUCAAAUUUCAUAUCGGAUGGUUAUAAAUAAUCAUGACCUCUCUGUACCAAUGGUAAAUGGCCUCAUCGUAUACAAUUCCAAUAUAAAAUCCCUUUCGCAAGACCAGACAAAUAUAUCGCUUUUAUAUAGUAGUGAUUUUCAAUUCAUUUUAUAUGACUUUGAAUUAGCUUUGCUCCUCUACUAUAUCUAUCAUUUUUUAAAGGAAAAGUAUACCAAGAGAUAAUUUAAUCUUGCUACAAGAGGUCAUGUCCUCUCCUAUAUCUAUCAUUUUUUAAAGGAAAAGUAUACCAAGAGAUAAUUUAAUCUUGCUACAGGAGGUCAUAAACACUAUUGGUAGUAGAUUUCAAAUCAUAAACACUAUUGGUAGUAGAUUUCAAAUCAGACUAUAAGACUAGAUUCGAAGUUCAAAAAAAAAACAAAAUCUUGAACUUUGUAUUACAACUCAAGCCCUAUAAUUUAACAUCUAAUGACUACAAAUAAUUUUGACAUCUUUAUAAUAAAAAUGAACGGUUUCAUGGUAUAAAAUCCCUUUUUUAUAUCUUCUCUCUCCUCUAUCCACGAUUUCUUAAACUUCUUCUUUUCUUUUUAUUUUUUCUCCUCUAUGCACGAUUUCUUAUACCCAUCCUUUCCUUUAAAUCUUGGCCAUUCAAGUAUUAUAGUCCAUAUUUGCAGUUGUCUUUUGACAUAUUCUCAUCUUGGCCUUGGCCAUUUAAGUCUUUAUAGUUCAUAUUUGCAGUUCUCUUUUGACAUAUUCUCAUCAACGCUGCGAGGACUGGAAGAGGACCCUUGUCUUUUUUGACAUUUCUGCAUCAACAACAGAGGACACAUGGAUACUGGUUUUACUGGUUUUAGUUGAGUUUUUUUGGAGUGAUUGAUGGUAGGGAUGGCGAUGAAAGUGAAAGUGAAUGAAUAUUUUUUAUUUAUUUUUUUUAUCAUAAAACUUUCUCUUUUUUUUUUCUUUUUUUUCUUUUUUACGAUUUUUUAUUGUCGCGCUGAGUUUCAGGUUGGGUCAACACGUAGGUCUAGGUCCGGGUCUUGAGUCCAAUAGUGACGUUCAGGUACGGGUACGAGCCCUAAUUGGUUGUAACGGGACCCUACCCAUUGCCAAGCACUAAGUCGUUGUAAACUACAACCUUGUAAUGAUGGAAUAUUGUAGUUUCUUUUUGAUCCCUUGCGCCCUUUAUCUCUCUUGAAGAUUGAUGGUAAUUUGAG
RNAcentral lists this long non-coding RNA (1642 nucleotides) under Amborella trichopoda. Its description in RNAcentral is "long non-coding RNA (ATRI_LNC004468)". Lineage: Eukaryota; Viridiplantae; Streptophyta; Magnoliopsida; Amborellales; Amborellaceae. The record is from RNAcentral.